Molecule: long non-coding RNA, 725 nt
Filed under: Homo sapiens (human)
Lineage: Eukaryota; Metazoa; Chordata; Mammalia; Primates; Hominidae
Description: HSALNT0310865
Source: RNAcentral
GCGCCGGGAUGCGCUCUCCUCUUCUCAUUUGCCAAUUUAUUGCAGAUCCCUCCUCAAAAAAGUUUUGGGACUAACUCAGCCCCAUGGAGAUCAAGGUGAAUUAGAAAAACAACAAAACAAAACAAGAUUCAUUUUAACAUCUCAUUUUUCUAUCUCCAACUUUCCCUCCCCUCCUCCCACCCCAGGAAGAAAAGACUACGUUUGUUUCUGGUGAUACAUUCAUUGUAGGUGGGUGGGUGACUUCUAGAAGAGGAAAAUCAAGAAGAUUUGGAGAAGGAGUCUUGGAAGCUCUGGUGAAGUUUUCCAAAACUGGGAAGGACAGAGUCUGCUCAGCCUGUGUUAGUGGAGAAGAGGGAAGGAAACUGGCUGGAGGCCGCUGGACCCACAGAGGACAAUAGACAAUCUCCUGCUGAUGCCCACUGGAUCCAAAGAGAGAAACUCUAUAGAAUUAUGAUCUAGGUUUGACUGACUCCUGGCAAGAAGCCCUACCCGCCAGCCAAUUUGGAUGAGCUCUUAUGCUCCAGAUCCAUCAUGAGAAGAACAUGCCCUGGAUUCCUGCUAUCCCUUUAGCCAUGGCUCCAAAAUUAACACACACAAGGAAGACCUGAGGUCAAUCCACAGCCUGGAUUCAAGUCACCUAAUACAUAGGAGAAUCAGAGCUACCCAGCCACACUCAAUCUACGUUAACUGAACCUCAGCUGACCUGCAGAUUUAUGAGUAUGAGA